CAACAGGGAUUGCCCUAGUAACGGCGAGUGAAGCGGCAACAGCUCAAAUUUGAAAUCUGGCUCUCGGGCCCGAGUUGUAAUUUGUAGAGGAUGACUUUGAUGCGGUGCCUUCCGAGUUCCCUGGAACGGGACGCCAUAGAGGGUGAGAGCCCCGUCUGGUUGGAUGCCAAAUCUCUGUAAGUCUCCUUCGACGAGUCGAGUAGUUUGGGAAUGCUGCUCUAAAUGGGAGGUAUAUGUCUUCUAAAGCUAAAUACCGGCCAGAGACCGAUAGCGCACAAGUAGAGUGAUCGAAAGAUGAAAAGCACUUUGAAAAGAGAGUUAAAAAGUACGUGAAAUUGUUGAAAGGGAAGCGUUUAUGACCAGACUUGGGCUUGGUUAAUCAUCUGGGGUUCUCCCCAGUGCACUUUUCCAGUCCAGGCCAGCAUCAGUUUUCGCCGGGGGACAAAGACUUCGGGAAUGUGGCUCCCCUCGGGGAGUGUUAUAGCCCGUUGUGUAAUGCCCUGGCGGGGACUGAGGUUCGCGCUUCUGCAAGGAU
Molecule: ribosomal RNA, 535 nt
Filed under: Fusarium sambucinum
Lineage: Eukaryota; Fungi; Ascomycota; Sordariomycetes; Hypocreales; Nectriaceae
Description: eukaryotic LSU rRNA
Rfam family: Eukaryotic large subunit ribosomal RNA
Source: RNAcentral